This is a non-coding RNA of Podarcis lilfordi (Lilford's wall lizard), 180 nucleotides long. Lineage: Eukaryota; Metazoa; Chordata; Lepidosauria; Squamata; Lacertidae. The record is from the annotation of a GenBank genome assembly.
ACACACACACACACACACACACACACACACACAUUUUGACUCAAGAAAAUCACCAUUUAAUCGGGACAAAUAAAUACAGUAAAUGGACAAAAGUAAAAAGAUUCACAAAAUGUUUAGUGGUAUGUGUACCCCCAGAAAAAAGCACUUUUUGUGUUUGUGUUUGUGUGUGUGUGUGUGUUU